CCUAUCGGUCGCCUCUCGCCGGAGGGAAGGUUUUUUUUUGCUUUUUGUCGAUUGUUCGAUCGUGAUGUUUGGAAUUUCGUAUGGGGAGCUGUUUCUUAUUCUCGGGGCCACUGCCGCACUAAUCGGGCCAAAGGACCUGCCGAAAAUUGCAAGAACUGCUGGGAGAUUAGCAGGGAGAGCGAUUGGGUAUGUGCAGCUCGCCCGUGGGCAGUUCGAAACCGUUAUGCAGCAAUCACAAGCGAGCAAGGUUCACAAGGAACUUCAAGACACUAUUGCUCAAUUAGAGGCGAUUCGUUACGAAAUCCGAAGUAUAUCAAUCAUGAACCCAGGUCCAUUCACAAGGAGGCUGGACGCCACCGACCCUACACAUACUAAGGGAUAUCAGCAGACUGAUGUAGCUGAGAAACCUGAUGGAGAGAUUGGCCCGACAGCGACUAACGGUAAGGAUAUGAAUUCAACAAGUACGGUUCCUUCCGAUCUUCACAGCCAAGCAGUGGCAUAUGCCAGGAUAGCUGAAGUCCAAGCUAUUAAGAUGAGAACUUCAGCAGGCGGUGAAAAUACAGAGAAAGUUGGAGACGAAUGUGGGGCGGUAACUGUUCUACCUGUCUCAGCUGAGAGCGCGGGCUUACUUCCGAAACAAACUGCAGGCCAAUGCAGUUUAUGCAAAGACUAUUAAGAGGGAUAUAUCGACAUCUAAAAGUUCAUGCACUGUUUUUUUAGAACAGUUCGCCCUUGGGUAGACUCGUCCAAUGAGAAUGUGGUUUGCACUACUUAUGAACCUUUUUAAAACUUUGAAAGUUACUUUUUCAAACACGGCUUUUUCACUUGGGCAAUAUAGGGGCAACCAAAGAGGCCUUCUGAGAAGUGUUUAUGUUGUACUCAUUGUACUAUUCUUGUUAUAGAAGAUGGUGGCGGUGCAAAUACAUUGCAGGCUCUAACAUACCCACAGAUAAUAUUUGGCCGAUUAUAUUUGAAGUAGUAUGCUCAUGGAAAAUGGCUAUUUGCUGUGCCAGAUGAAGUACAAGGCUCUGAUGUUGUCCUAGAAGCCAUACUGGAAGCCGAGGUCGCAAGCAAUGCCCAAGAAUUCUUCUCGCAGCCUCAGAAUCAACUGCCUAAAGACAAGUAAAACUGAGUUAUGGAACUUGACAAGGAGGUUUGAAUAUGGUGGCAAGUUGCUGCUUAACUGUGUUCAUCAAUGACUAGUUCCCAGGAGAUGGAGAAAAAUUGAAGCUAAUAUUAGAAGCUGAAGCACUUUACCCAGUUCUGCUACUCAGACUAAAGUCUUUUUUUUUUUUUUUUUAUAACCCCAACAAUCAUUUAGCAUCUAUGUAAAGAUGGAAUUUAUAUUACUGCUUCACUUUAUAUCUGUGCGUUGCUAUUUUAACGUUAAGUGUAGGAUUGAUAAUAUAAUCUAAUGUUUUGGUUUUAUUUUGUACAUUAA
This is an RNA transcript of Ananas comosus (pineapple), 1441 nucleotides long. It is a transcript of the gene named sec-independent protein translocase protein TatB, with no coding region annotated. The transcript has 8 exons. The record is from RefSeq and is a predicted model, not a curated record. Lineage: Eukaryota; Viridiplantae; Streptophyta; Magnoliopsida; Poales; Bromeliaceae.